This 449-nucleotide ribosomal RNA is filed under the name uncultured bacterium. RNAcentral describes it as "partial 16S ribosomal RNA". It matches the Rfam family "Bacterial small subunit ribosomal RNA", at positions 30 to 523 of the family's 1533-position model. The record is from RNAcentral.
AUUGAACGCUGGCGGCAUGCCUUACACAUGCAAGUCGAACGGACCCUUCGGGGUUAGUGGCGGACGGGUGAGUAACACGUGGGAACGUGCCUUUAGGUUCGGAAUAGCUCCUGGAAACGGGUGGUAAUGCCGAAUGUGCCCUUCGGGGGAAAGAUUUAUCGCCUUUAGAGCGGCCCGCGUCUGAUUAGCUAGUUGGUGAGGUAACGGCUCACCAAGGCGACGAUCAGUAGCUGGUCUGAGAGGAUGACCAGCCACACUGGGACUGAGACACGGCCCAGACUCCUACGGGAGGCAGCAGUGGGGAAUCUUGCGCAAUGGGCGAAAGCCUGACGCAGCCAUGCCGCGUGAAUGAUGAAGGUCUUAGGAUUGUAAAAUUCUUUCACCGGGGACGAUAAUGACGGUACCCGGAGAAGAAGCCCCGGCUAACUUCGUGCCAGCCGCCGCAGUAA